This 301-nucleotide ribosomal RNA is filed under the name uncultured bacterium. Its description in RNAcentral is "partial 16S ribosomal RNA". It matches the Rfam family "Bacterial small subunit ribosomal RNA", at positions 509 to 807 of the family's 1533-position model. The record is from RNAcentral.
CAGCCGCCGCGGUAAAACAGAGGGUGCGAGCGUUAAUCGGAUUUACUGGGCGUAAAGCGUGUGUAGGUUGUUGUUCAAGUCAGUUGUGAAAUCCCUGGGCUCAACCUGGGAACUGCUUCUGAGACUGAACGACUAGAGUACGGUAGAGGGUGGUGGAAUUUCCGGUGUAGCGGUGAAAUGCGUAGAUAUCGGAAGGAACCUCAAUGGCGAAGGCAGCCACCUGGGCCUGUACUGACACUGAGACACGAAAGCGUGGGGAUCAAACAGGAUUAGAUACCCCUGUAGUCCCUGUCUCUUAUAC